Long non-coding RNA from Entelurus aequoreus (snake pipefish), 2496 nucleotides. RefSeq lists it as uncharacterized. The transcript has 3 exons. The record is from RefSeq and is a predicted model, not a curated record. NCBI's taxonomy places the organism in Eukaryota, Metazoa, Chordata, Actinopteri, Syngnathiformes, Syngnathidae.
UGUGUGUGUGUGAGAGAGAGAAAGGUAAAUCAUGAUGGCAGAAGGUUUAUUAGUGUCUGCUUUACAAGUACAAUCUAUUUACAGCGAGCGGUAUUAGAAAAAACUAGAUUCCAGUUCUGCACAAUAACCAUGGGGGCGGUGCGUCGUCAUGGCAACAGAGAGAGCGAGCCAAUGCUAGGCGGUAAAAGGACCUGCAUCUUCACUGCUGAUUAUGAUGCCUUUUAUUUUGAAAUCCACAUGACUUUGCUGUUCAGUUGGCCAGUCGCAGGUGGUAGGUGACCAUGUGGAAGUUGUCCCAGGCAAACAGCUUCCUCUGCUGGUGGUUGUAGUCCACCAUGCUGUUGUAACCGUACUGGUUCUUGAACGGCACCGAGAUGGCCCGGCUGGCCCGGGUGGCGGUGUCGUAGACGUGGUUGAGGGUGGUGUUGGCGGCGGUGUAGCUGGCCACCGUGUACAGACGACCACACGCCAUGAAGGCGUUGGCCGCCGUGUUCUUCCUGAUGUUGGUCUCCCAGCUCUUCUUCACCUCCAGGCUCUCAGGGUCCAGCUGGGAGAGCACAAUGCUGCCUUUGGCUUUGCUGGUGCUGUAGAUGGCCCACAGAGCCCGCUCGUCCACCGCCAGGUCGAUGUCGGUGUAGCCCCCCCAGGAGUAGGGGUACUGGCCGUGGAAGCCUGCGUGAGGUAGGUCCCGGCGUGAUGCCAGGCUCUCGGAGGCCACGUCAUAGCGGAUGAGAGUACGGCUGCGUUUGCGCUGGUAGUAGAGCGAGCCGCGGUACAUGGUUGCACCCGUGCUCUCCACGGGUUCCGGCAGGACAAACACUUUCAUGGGGAAACCACGAGAAAACUGGUCCAUGUCUUCGUACGCAAACAGCUGACGGACAUCUUUGCCCACCGUGUCGAUACGCCACACCGUCUUGUUGGUGUACUGCGUGCCUCGGGGCUCAGGAUCCUGUAGCCACACUCCGUACUUCCCUGUGAUACCGUCAGCCUUCCUAUGCAACACCGGAUCUCCCACCGACAACACCUCACCACAACCUGAAGGAAGGCACAUUUUUGCAACGUGGUACUUUGGGUUUGGAGUAUCCGAGGGCGUCAACUUACCCGAGACAUUUCCACCAGGAAGGAGGCGGGAUGCUGGGACCUCUGUGACCUCAGCCUUCAUCUCCUGCAGGUUCCGUCUUACACUGUCGUGGCUUUCCUGAAAAUGAGGCACGUAAACAAGCCUGAGUGACAAAGUCAUAAAGGAAACAUUCCAAUGGUGUUACACAACCCGAGGCCAUGACUGCAACCUGAGCCGUCCCCCUUCAGAGACGUCAUAGUCUCUGCCUGAGGCCGUCCGUCUCCUGACUGAGCUCUCUCACCCUCGCCUGGAGGUCCUGGACCUGUCUCUUCAGACGGUCCUUGUCUUGGCGCAGCUGGUUUCUUUCCCCUGUCAGCUGGGAAAAACCUUCCUGGAAGCCCACCUCAACGUCAGCUCCCAUCUCUCUCCUCGCGAUCAGGCGGCUGACCAGAGCCUCCAGCGAGGUGAGCCGAGACAGAACUCCUUCCGUCUCGGCUCUCCCGCUGCAGCCCGACUCCUGCGGGCUGGGGACGGUGAAGGUGUACUGGCAACGUCCCGCAGCAUCGUUAGCGUGACGCAGGGAUGCCUGGUCUUCAGCCUGGAGUUGACUGACCAACGUGAGGAAGGUCAGACCCAGAAGAGCCGCUUGGAGCCACAUUCUGCAGGUUUUUUAAAGUUACUACCCCUGAAAAGGAUUCUUCUACCUUCCGGGUCAGUGCAGUCUGUAUCCCAGCCCUGCUGAGAGGGAUAUUUAUACGGUCACAGGGUGGGAGGAGUACGUGCCAAGCAGCCCAGGGGUGUGGGCAGUCCAUACAGAGCCCGGUCGCUAACAAACAACGUGGAAAAACACACCACUUGAUUUUGUUUACCCUGUGGUUGCGUCUCAGCAGGGGGUGACGUCCUUGCACGGGAUAUUUUGACUGGACAGCAUCCUUGAUGUUGUUGACUUCCUCCGUAAGUGAUAGUUUUACACUGCCACUUAAUGGCGGUUAAUGAGCGCUAUGGUUCGACUUCGGGGCUGGAGGGGUAAGUGUUUAGGACUCUGUCAACAUGCAGCCACAACGUGUUGACCCAGAUUGUGCUUCCAGACAUCCCAAUGAAGGCCGGCUGCCGGACACAGGUGCUCCUGUUUAUUGUUCUUCCAACCCAACCAUGAACUUUUCACAACGUCCGAUUAGUGUCCCGUCUGAAGUUGUUUUUGUCGUCCUCUCUGCUCACACACCCAUCAUUGGCAGACACUUUAUGAUCGUAUUGGUAGACAACCUUUAAUGUCCACUAUCCAUUGGUUAGUUGGUUGGUUCCAUUAACGGAGUCAUCAGAUACACUACCAAAAUAAACAUGUUUCUUCUCCCAGUAACCUUCAUUCUUUUUCACUUCACGCCAACAGUGAAAUUGCACGUUUUAUUUCAUCCAUCCAUCCAUCCAUUUUCUACCGC